CUACGGGCCGCUCCAGUGGGGAAUAUUGGACAAUGGGGGAAACCCUGAUCCAGCAAUGCCGCGUGUGUGAAGAAGGCCUGCGGGUUGUAAAGCACUUUCGGUUGGGAGGACUGCUUCUAGCACUAAUAUUGUUGGAAGUUGACGUUACCUUCAGAAGAAGCACCGGCUAACUCCGUGCCAGCAGCCGCGGUAAUACGGAGGGUGCAUGCGUUAAUCGGAAUUACUGGGCGUAAAGCGCGCGUAGGCGGCCAGAUCAGUCGGGUGUGAAAGCCCCGGGCUUAACCUGGGAACUGCAUCCGAUACUGUCUAGCUUGAGUACAGGAGAGGAGAGUGGAAUUCCACAUGUAGCGGUGAAAUGCGUAGAUAUGUGAGGAACACCAAUGGCGAAGGCAGCUCUCUGGCCUGAUACUGACGCUGAGGUGCGAAAGCGUGGGGAGCAAACAGGAUUAGAUACCCCAGUAGUC
RNAcentral lists this ribosomal RNA (464 nucleotides) under uncultured bacterium. RNAcentral describes it as "partial 16S ribosomal RNA". It matches the Rfam family "Bacterial small subunit ribosomal RNA", at positions 339 to 795 of the family's 1533-position model. The record is from RNAcentral.